UGCAGCUCUCUGCUGCUCUGUGUGUCCCUGCCCCAAGGCAGAGGGUGGAACUGGAUGUUCUUUAAGGUCCAUCCAACCCAAACCACCC
Sturnus vulgaris (Common starling) is the source of this 88-nucleotide non-coding RNA. Lineage: Eukaryota; Metazoa; Chordata; Aves; Passeriformes; Sturnidae. The record is from RefSeq and is a predicted model, not a curated record.